AGAGUUUGAUCAUGGCUCAGGACGAACGCUGGCGGCGUGCCUAAUACAUGCAAGUCGAGCGGACUUGAUGAGGAGCUUGCUCCUCUGAAGGUUAGCGGCGGACGGGUGAGUAACACGUAGGCAACCUGCCUGUAAGACUGGGAUAACUACCGGAAACGGUAGCUAAUACCGGAUAAUUUAUCGAUUCGCAUGAAUUGAUA
Molecule: ribosomal RNA, 200 nt
Filed under: uncultured bacterium
Lineage: Bacteria
Description: partial 16S ribosomal RNA
Rfam family: Bacterial small subunit ribosomal RNA
Source: RNAcentral